RNAcentral lists this ribosomal RNA (543 nucleotides) under uncultured bacterium. Its description in RNAcentral is "bacterial SSU rRNA". It matches the Rfam family "Bacterial small subunit ribosomal RNA", at positions 776 to 1329 of the family's 1533-position model. The record is from RNAcentral.
AAAUAGAUACCCCGGUAGUCCACGCCGUAAACGAUGCUCGCUGGAUGUUGGAAGUAUCGACCCUUUCAGCAUCGAAGCUAACGCGUUAAGCGAGCCGCCUGGGAAGUACGGCCGCAAGGCUAAAACUCAAAGGAAUUGACGGGGGACCCGCACAAGCGGUGGAACAUGUGGUUUAAUUCGACGAUACGCGAAGAACCUUACCAAGAUUUGACAUCCUGCGAAUCCUUAAGAAAUUAAGGAGUGCCCUUGGGAACGCAGUGACAGGUGUUGCAUGGCUGUCGUCAGCUCGUGCCGUGAGGUGUUCGGUUAAGUCCGGUAACGAGCGUAACCCCUAUUCUGAUUUACAUUGUGUAUCAGAAGACUGCCUUGGUUAACAAGGAGGAAGGUGGGGAUGACGUCUAGUCAGCAUGGCCCUUAUGUCUUGGGCGACACACAUGUUACAAUGGCUGGUACAAUGGGUUGCUAAGCUGUAAAGUGGAGCUAAUCCCAUCAAAACCAGUCUAAGUUCGGAUUGAGGGCUGAAACUCGCCCUCAUGAAGUUGG